AUAAUGAUACUCCCGUCCAGUCACAGCCCUGCAGGGAUGCAGGAUCACGCAAUGAGGGCGGCUCUGUGAGAACCACAGAGGGGUAAAUACCCGUGA
This 96-nucleotide non-coding RNA is filed under the name human gut metagenome. RNAcentral describes it as "pemK RNA". It matches the Rfam family "pemK RNA". The record is from RNAcentral.